UACAGAGGUCCCAAGCGUUGUUCGGAUUCAUUGGGCGUAAGGGGUGCGUAGGCGGCGCGGUAAGUCGGGUGUGAAAUCUCGGGGCUUAACUCCGAAACUGCAUUCGAUACUGCCGUGCUUGAGGACUGGAGAGGAGACUGGAAUUUACGGUGUAGCGGUGAAAUGCGUAGAUAUCGUAAGGAAGACCAGUGGCGAAGGCGGGUCUCUGGACAGUUCCUGACGCUGAGGCACGAAGGUCAGGGGAGCAAACGGG
This 253-nucleotide ribosomal RNA is filed under the name uncultured bacterium. RNAcentral's name for it is "partial 16S ribosomal RNA". It matches the Rfam family "Bacterial small subunit ribosomal RNA", at positions 524 to 776 of the family's 1533-position model. The record is from RNAcentral.